This 198-nucleotide ribosomal RNA is filed under the name uncultured bacterium. RNAcentral's name for it is "partial 16S ribosomal RNA". It matches the Rfam family "Bacterial small subunit ribosomal RNA", at positions 326 to 539 of the family's 1533-position model. The record is from RNAcentral.
ACGCUCGACACCUACGAGGCAGCAGUUGGGAAUAUUGGACAAUGGAGGAAACUCUGAUCCAGUGACGCCGCGUGAAGGAAGAAGGUCUUCGGAUUGUAAACUUAUUUUGUCAGGGAAGAAAAAAUGACUGUACCUGAAGAAAAAGCACCGGCUAACUACGUGCCUGCAGCCGCGGUAAUCUGAGCGGGCUGGCAAGGC